RNAcentral lists this long non-coding RNA (1579 nucleotides) under Pan troglodytes (chimpanzee). RNAcentral's name for it is "long non-coding RNA NONPTRT017534". The record is from RNAcentral. Lineage: Eukaryota; Metazoa; Chordata; Mammalia; Primates; Hominidae.
GGGGGACACUGAAGGGAGAUGAGAGGAACAAGCACUGGGGUGGUUCUAGGUCUCUCUGGGACCAGCCACUCCAAAGAACACAACCAGUGCAUGCUGAUCUUAUCUUCUUUCAGACCCUGCAACUUCCACGUCUUCUUUAACCCAGAAAGCUUGUUGCAUUUGCAGAAUCUCUGGGGAGAAUAUUAUUAUCAUCUUUAUUAGUAGUAGGUGUUCGCGUGGAGGUGGUCUCAGCUGGAGGACUCCUGGAGUCUGCCCAAAGGGUUCCCAUGACCUCUGGGCUCCACUUACUUCACAAGCCUUGCCCCAGCUCCUCCUGGGCCUGAAGCUGUGUCUGGUGCCUCAUGCCUUUCCAGGUGUUGUGAAUGACACACUGAUGUUGGAGAUCCUUGGCCAUCCAUGUUAUGAACAUUUUUUACUAUUUAGCCAGGUAUCAAAGCUCAAACCAUAGUCUGUAGAAAUAUAAGUUCCAGGAGUGGGGGUCUUGCUAGGUGACGUUGAGCCAGCAGGGCUUUCUGGCGACAGCAAUGACUGUGAUGUUGACAGGUGGGUCGGACUGCAGGAUUCCAUAACCCUCUAAUAUUUGGGUUUUGCUGAACUUGCUCCCAACACUGUUGGUGACACACAGGGACACUGUAUAGAAAGAGUAAUCUCCCUCUGGCACUGCCAACUGGCAGAACUUCUGGGACUCCUGAGAAUACUGACACGGCUCCUGGAAGAGUUCUGCCUGACAGUUCUGAAACUUUCUCACCAAUAGCACAGCUUUGACUCAGAACCUUGACUCCAAGGACUCUAUUCACAACCAAUGUCACUGAGGGGGCUCUUCCAGAAGCAGGAGAGCUGGGGCUCCUCAGGAGAAACAUCCACCAGCAAAGCACAGACCUGCUGGGCAGCCAGCCCGGCAGCAAGAAUAGUUUCCAGAGUCGCAGAGCUGCACCAACCUCAGAAGCAGCCUCCUUCCCACACCAGCCCAUCUGCUGGGGCGUGAGCCUGCGCCGGGAGUCCUGUGCAACCAGUGGACAGUGGCAUGACUUUCAGGUUCUCCCUCUGGACAGUUAACGUUCGAGGCUCCUUUCAAUGUUCUCAACUCUUCAAACAAGUGUUCUUUCUGGAAAAGGUAUUAUUCUAUUUUAAAUUUUAUCAGUUUUCUGCCUGCAGUUGGGAAUACCAUGCUGAGUGCUCUGCCUGGUAAAGUCAGUGUAUAUUAUACUCUUUAGCACAGCUAUAAGAUCUUUGCAUAACAAAGACAUGCUUUGCCUUCUAAUCUCCUAACAAAAUGAUCUACACUCCACUCUGGCUUGAAAGUGUGACUUUUGGAGUCCGCUUUUCUCCUCUUCUCUUGGCAAACGUAAGAAGAUGCACUGAAAUUAAAUGACUAAAAUGCCAUAGUAUGGCAUCGCAAGCAGCGCUGGAAGGCCGUCACUGCAAUUUGUAGUGCACCAGAGUGCAAGGCAAGGAGAACGCACAUCUGGUCUUGGCCACAGCUGCUCAGCCCUGUUGUUAGCAUUGCCCUGGGCGAGCAGCCAUGAUCAGUACACAAGUGAAUGAACAAGACUGUGUGCCAAUAAAACUUUACUUAUCG